AAUGUGCUGUUAUAAACUUGAGUUGGGUCGAGCAAGAGUUCCUGCUUGUUAAUUGUACAUGUAAAGUUCUGUUUUGAAGUAAUGUAUGUACCAGGAAAGGAUCAGUCAGGUUGAGUGCCUUCCGAAUGACAUGGCGGCAUGGCAAGAGCUACCAUGUCUUUGUUCCUCAACAAUGUUAAAGUUCCAAGCCAAUUUUCAGGAAAAAAUCUUGAAUGCUAAAAACAGGCGUAUAACAUUGGAAAGCUCAGCUUAACGUAGAAGCCUGAAGAUCGCAGAGGAUUGUUACCUUCCAGGUGCAGUAAAAGCGAUUCAAAGGACCAAAUACUACAGGUUUACACCGCAUCAUAAAAUGUAAACCAUGGUGUACAAAAGGAUGUGUAAGCGACUGCGGCAUACCAACCGAAAGAAGCCAGAACGCGACAUAAACAGAGCUAACGGCUGUGUUCGUAGCAGAGAGCGAACUGUUUCCAGUUUGUAAAGUGACCGUUAUCAAACGUUCCUCCUUAUUCGUGUCUAUACCAAAUGGCUGAUCUCAAGGUUGGCUUCUACAACAUUCCAAAUGAACAAACUAAUAUGAGGAUCCGGAGAUAAACAUUUACCGCGCAUUCUCAGAACUAACAUCUUCCCAGGAUUCGAAGCUCACGCAAUAAAUAGAAACUCCAAAAGCACUGUUCGAACGUUGACUUUGAUCACAAGAUAGUCCAAAGGUAAGUAACAAGUGCAUACGGAAUACAAAAUGUAGUAGACUUUCCUUUCAGCGUAGCCUACUCUAGAACAACAAUAAUCUGAAAAAUGUUCGGAAACCAAUUCCCAAAAAGUAUAUUUAAUAGGCAUAUGAAUAACGAUUAACGAAGUAAACAAACUCGAAGUGCCCUGAUGUGUUAUGCAAGUGAAGAUGGAGUGGGAGCUAAAAUCUGUUCACAAGAUAUAAGGUGGCAUUAAAAGUUGUUUUGAAGUUGUAGCAAUAUAUAAUGGGAAGUCAUUGUACCUGAUUCGUGAGCAUUUCUGUUGACGGUGAUUUGAUUCAAACGCCUUGCAGUGUCACGGUGAUGGCGGACACAGUUGUUUAUUUACAACUACUUUUGCUAUAAACAAAACAAGUUCCCUAGUGUUCUAAGUGAACAACUACGUAUUUAACUGUCACAUUCUAGAGAAAUUAUUCCUUUAUAGUUCCCAUUAGCAUAUAGUCGUUGGAAAUUUGGGCAUAACUCAAGGCAGCAGGGGAUUGGAUAGGAGUAACAUAACAUCGUUACAGGCAAAUCGACAGGGGUGAAAAAAACUGGUCUAAAUUAGAACUACAGAACUACAAUUCUGUAUUUACUUUUAAUGCUAGAAAUCCAUCAUUCAAUUAUUUUGAUCAGGAAAGGGUAAUUCAUCUUUUUCCCACUGUUUUAACAGAGAUGGAGUCGACGAAGAUCGUUUUCCUUGUCCUGGUAUUUAUUACACAGAAAAUGUCUACAGCCACCACUGCAACAAAUUCAUCUACACCAAGGUUUAGGAUAAGCCACGCGACAAUCUUGAUCAAACUUAUCAUUAUUCCUGCAAUACACAACGCCACUGUUCAGGUUACGGUCAGAAAACCUUCAAAAUUCAUGAUUACUUUGCUUAUUGCUAAACGUGCUGGACUUAAUUCAUAUGAAAGAGAAAGAUUAAACCACAAUUUCAAUUUAUCGCGAAUUUAGCCUUUUGAUGUGAUUCUAUGCUGGCUUAAACUUUAAUGGGUUAAAGCUUCAAUCAUUCAAGGUCUGUGCUAAGUUUGGUUUUUUCAAAUCGUUCAGAACAAUCAUUUCUUUUGGUAAUAAUCUGAAGGCUUUGUGAGUCAUAAAACAUUCUCAAUUCGUUACAGUAAAAAAAAAAAAACAGUCGUAAAAAACUACAUUAGGCAAUCUGCUAACUGAAAAUGUUCAUGUGUUUUCUUACAGAUGAAGUUGCUGUACCCUUUCAUUACUUCUUCGGACUAUUUUUACGAGCCUCCUAUUACUCUCGGUCUCAAUCUUGGGAAAGACUGCACUAAAGAGAAGAUGAUGAUAUUCUGAUAUCUUCGGCUGGAGCCACAGCAUUAUGCUGUUGCUUUGAUGGACAUAGACAAUACUGCUACAUCAAAAUGGACAGAUCAAAACAUGAACAUCAUUUUGUUAUUUCUUCCCAAGUAUCAAAAUAGUGAUCUAGUCACAUGUUUCUUCUGUCACGCUCAUUCCAUUUUGUCACAGUUGCAAGGCAAAAUUACGUUUUAAAGCCUUCAGAAAAAGAGAUAAGUUGAGAGAACGUUUGCGAUUACAAUUUGUUAAGUGAAAUAUACUGAUCAGUAUUUAGGUUUAAAAUCUUUGUGUUUUUUACUUCUUACAUUUAAUAGCAAAAGCAGGGCUUUUUUUAAGAAUACGUUUAUGAAAAUAGUUUGAAUGGUUGACGAGAAAAUUGUAGUCAUUAUACUUUAUAGGAAGUUGGAAAGAAGCUUAGUGUACUGCACUCACAGUUAGCUGUUUUCAAGCGCCCUUUGAACUUCGUUGUCCUGUACGUAACUUCUCAGGGACGUAAUCAUACUAGCUUGGCAUCAGUUCUGAGGACGAUGAGUGUUAUGGUUAAUGCCACAGUAUCUUUUAUCAGAUAUCAGAUGAGACAAGAAGGAAUCUGGCCACCAGAAUAUCCUGUAAUAUCUGAAGCUCAGUUCAAUAACAUUACAGGAACUUACCUGAAAACCUUGGUCAGAAGGAACCUUGUGACAUUGACGAUAACAGAUGAUGUUGUGAAACGAUUGCGAAACUUCGUAAUCUUAUACACACUUCACGACGUCUUGAUACAGGUUUCGCCCUGUACUUAUGGCACGACUAAAAGAAAAAGUAAAAAAUCAAGAGAUGGCCCCUAGAAUUUUACGGGCACUUUAUCUUCGAAUAUCGGCUCCUGAAUAUGCCAAUGACAAGUAUACCUGACCUAACAGCUUACCGCUUUUAGUUUGCCUCUUGAGAUGCGGCAUGGAAACUCCAUUGAUUUUGGGAUUUUGAUAAUCUGCUGAUAAACUAUUGUUUCAUGUGCAUGCUACUCACGAAGAGACUCGAAAAUAAUUUCUAGUAAAUGAUGUCUUAAGUUUUAAUUUAUUUUAAAUGUGACGAGCAACUAUCGUUUGAUGGCUUAUUCUCUUCAAACAUGUGGACUGUUAAUGUGACCGAUAAUGCCUAACACCGUGACAUGAACUCAAGGAAACACGGAUAAUGCGACGCUCUUCUCGUGAGCUUUGAUCAAUAUUAUGAGAUCGAUUCCUAUUAAAAAACAUCUUCUAUGAAA
Molecule: unclassified non-coding RNA, 3279 nt
Filed under: Stylophora pistillata
Lineage: Eukaryota; Metazoa; Cnidaria; Anthozoa; Scleractinia; Pocilloporidae
Description: uncharacterized LOC111320666, transcript variant X1
Source: RNAcentral